GGUACAAGAAUGCCCCAAGGCAUCACAGGGACUGGUAGGGGUGCUCCAGCAUUGUCCACGUUGAAGGACUGAUCACACAGUACAUGGUGUCAAACUCCACUUUUCUUUCUAGGGCUGUGUCCUCAUGCUGUUAUGGAGAGAGCCUUGUCUUCUGAUUCUCCCAACCUGAGAGGCAAGUAGUUCAUUUUUAAUUAAGUGAUAGUUAUCAUACCUUGUCCUUAAUUUUUGUCUUAUGUUGACCAUCUCUACUUUCAGUUCUUUUCUGCUGAUAACAGUUAAGCGAAAGAUGAUGUCAGUGUGCUGUGUGAUCCUCCUUUCUGAUGCUGUGUGCAGACUGAGUUGGAAGAAGCUUUUCUUGUUCUACUGUCAUUUUCUUGUCUCAAGCUGGUGGGGAGAAGUUGCUUGCCCCUACCCAGGAGAGUUAAGCAGGUGCUCGAGCAAGCUCCACACCUUCUACGACAAAGCUGAUUGUGGCUUCACGUUCAUUGCUAUCAUCAGACCUUCCCGCUCAGCUGUGUAA
This 520-nucleotide long non-coding RNA is filed under the name Numida meleagris (helmeted guineafowl). Its description in RNAcentral is "lncRNA (ENSNMEG00000000100.1)". Lineage: Eukaryota; Metazoa; Chordata; Aves; Galliformes; Numididae. The record is from RNAcentral.